Cervus elaphus (red deer) is the source of this 3643-nucleotide long non-coding RNA. RefSeq lists it as uncharacterized. Lineage: Eukaryota; Metazoa; Chordata; Mammalia; Artiodactyla; Cervidae. The record is from RefSeq and is a predicted model, not a curated record. The transcript is spliced from 3 exons.
GAAGUGAAGCAAAGUGAAGUCGCUCAGUCGGACAUGACUGGACAACUAACACCUAACCUCCUAGAUAAGUAGCAUAAAUUACAUGGCCUAUACUACACAAUUUAUUAUAAGAUUGCUGAAAAAUAGAGAAUUCCAUUUGCUGUGAUUCUAGAGUUCUCAGAUUUAACCAGAAGAAAAAAUUUUAAUUGUGGUAAAAUAGACACAAAAUUUACUAUUUUAACCAUUUUUAAAUGCCAUUAGGUACAUUCACCAUUCAUCAUCAUCCAUUGCCAUCAAUCUUCAUUACCACCAUCCAUCUCCAAAGCUUUUUCAUCUUCCCAACUGAAACUUAAUACUGUAUACAUUAAACAAUAAUUCCCAUUAGCCUUUUCCCCAGGCCCUGGCAGCCACCAUUCUAUUCUAGAUAUCUCAUAUAAGUGGAAUCUACUUGUCUUUUCUUAUCUGCCUUACUGCACUCACUAUAACGUGUUCAAGGUUCAUCCAUUUUGUAACAUGUGUCCAAAUUUCAUUCCUUUUUAAGGCUGAAUGAUAUUCUAUUCUACGUAUAUAUCGCAUUUUGUUUAUUCAUUUACCUGUUGGUGGACAUUGAGUUGUUACUUGGCUGCUAUGAAAAGUGUUGCUAUGAACAUUGGUCUACAAUUAUCCAUUGGAGUUUCUUCUUUCAGUUCUUUUGGGUAUAUACCUAGAAACAGAAUUGCUGAUCCUAUGGAACAGAGAAAGUUUUGAAGCUCAGAUUUUUAUAGAGGCCAAGUAGAAAACAACUGGGCAGUGAAAGGAACACGUCCUAUGAGUGAUGGGGCCCAAGAAACAGCAGAGGAAGCGUGCCUCUUCUGGGGGCACCCACCUCUGUGUUUAACAAGAAGAUAGAAUCUGGAUUCUUCAGUGAAAUUGCUGACUCAAUUUUUUUAAUGCCCUGAGGAAAGCACAUCUGAUGGUCCAGUUCAGCCUGAAGACUGUUUAUUUGCAGUCCUCUGCUUUACAUUUGAAAUUCACCUUUCAUCAAAGGUGUGAUAUGCGCAUCUGGCCAGACAGAUGUGGUAGGAAUCCAGCUCCCCUACUUUCUAGCUGUUUGACUUUUAGGCAGGUUAGCUCAGAGGCUUGGUUGUUUGGUUUAAAAUGAGUACAAAUGUAUUUGCCUUAUUUGUGAAAUUUAAGUGAAAUUAUGUAUAUAAGCUGCCUAACUCAAAGUUUGCCCUCAUUCUCUCUCUUCUCCUUCCCUACUCACCCUCUUUCUUCCACUAUCUGUUUUUAUCUACCUGCAAAUUUAGGUUUGUAGUAUUUGCUUAUUUUCAUCUAAAUUUUUAUUUAUUCUGUAAAUUUGAUUACUCUCAACUUUUGCUUAUAGAUUUGUUGAUUAUUCAACACUGGAGAAGGAAACUAGGUUAAUUAUUGUAUCCCAAAUGGUUCUUUAAACAUAAGCUUUCCCCAGGAAUCUGAGUAGUUAAGAGAAAUGAAUGAGUUUUUCAAAAUCUCGAAAAAGUUAAACAAAAAGAAAAACCGCAGUAAAUUUGAUAUGACAAGGACUAUAACUUUUUUUCCCCCAUUCACAAUUAAAUUCUCAAAUCUGACUUGUUAUAAUUUCCUUAAACAUGUAAUGCUAAAAUACUCCUCUCCUUUAGGAAUGGAGUUUUUCCUUGCUCAAAGCAACCAUAUAAUGAUGGCCAGACAUAAUUCUGAGACAUGUGAUUGAUUAGAAACCAUUAAAAUCAGAUCAUCAGCACAUGCUCUGAGUUCCAAAACUUAGCAUUUCCAAACAAUUACUUAACGUGUUUUCUAAAGCAAGUAAUCUGCUACUUGACUGAGAUAUAGUCAUCACAUAGAAGAAUAUUUAAGUAUCUACUCCAGCAUUUGCCAAAGAGCAGCAUUCUUUUUUUCAGCUGUUUUUCUUUUUGCUCCUAGUGUGGUAAAGUUAAAUUCUGGGAAAUGGUUUACUAAAGGGAAGUUUAACCACAGAUGUUUGUAAUUCCAACUUAAGUUUCCCAUCAAAGUCUUAAUGAAAUUCAGCUGCCAGCAGUUCAGCUCUGAAUCUGAGUCUUUUUAUCCUGAGAAACUUGGGGAAAACAGCAUUCCGAAGAUGAAUGGUAGUGGGAAAAUGUCCAUAUUAAAGCCCAAAUCCUGUACAUAAAGGAAAAAAAAUACACGAAGAAACAAAUGUUCUUAAAAAAAACAACAAGAAACGAGUGGUCAGCUGUACUUGAGUAACAUGCAGUGUGGCCCUCUUUUCCCUUCCAGGAAUUUCCUAGUUUGUGUGUUGUGUUUUGCUGGAAGCUAGAGAUUCUAGUGUUUACCUAAAUGGAGUCAAGUAUCAACGUUUAUGACUCCAUGGGAACCAAUGAGUAGGAGAAAUCCCAUAACAUUAAAAGCUGCAUUAGCCCAAGUCUCUUGGAGACUAGAGCAGUGAUCCGUGCUGCAUUCUACAGCUAACAGGACUCUCGAGCAUAGUGCAGACUCUGUAUAUUAAUAUUUAUUUUGAAAUUAUGCCCUCCAUUACAUGGAGUGGCAUGGCUGCUUUAAAGGAAAUCGGGAUGUCUAGAGAUCAAAGAUGUCUUCACUUAAAUUCACCGAGGAUGUGACUGUUACAUGCUAUACUGUUGUCUAUUUACAAAGUGAACUACAGCAUGGCACCCUGCACUAAGCAGCUCUAAAAAGCCAAAUGUAGGAGCAAAGGAAUGCAUUAUAUAGACACCAGCAGAAGGCAAGACAAAUGUCUAGCAAACCCCUGUAUUGUGGGAUGCCAGGGCUGUAGAACUAUCUAGAACCACACAAGAGCCAGAGCAAAAUCAGGGUUUAAAAUCAUGGCUGGCUUCUUCUUCCAUAGCAGAAUUAUUCUAUAGUGCCUUUCAAGGUUCACAGUCACAGUGUGUAUGCUACCCUUUGAUAAACAGUGCUAUAAUUUGACAAGCUAAGUGUGCCCUAAGUGUAACCUCUCUUCCUGUCGGUAUGCUAUUAGUCCUGGGAACAGCAGAGCGGUUCUGUCACCUGUGAUUCUGUCAAUCCCCAGGUCACAGGUGAGGUGCCAAGUGCCUGUUAUUUGGAGGCUGAACUGAGUCUGAAUGCCUGGAGACCGGCCAGUGUUUCUUUGUGGUGCAUGAAUGAUUGCCUCAUUCUGUAUUGUUUCCUUGGAAUUAUUGUCUGUUGUGAUUAAUGCCAGCAGACACCUUGAAAUGCGACUUAAACCAGAGACAAGCCCUGAAGCCUCUACUGCAGCACAGAAUUCAGCAUAGAGGAGACCUGUUUGAAUGCCAGCCAGUGGGUGGUUAUCACUGGAUGUGUAACUCUAUUGGACCUUGCAGUGGGAACCAUAAAAUCAAAGGGAUCACAGGAUAUUAGAUCUGGAAGGGGAGUUUAGGGAUUCAAACUCUCUCAUUUUAUAGGUAAGAAAGUUGAAUCUUAGAGGGGUUGAGUUGCUUCACUUAAGGACGCAAAGCUCACAAGCAGCAGUGCCAGGAACCAUGUCUUCUGACUUCCAGCCUUAUUUUCUUUCAAAGUGUUUCAAGGGACUUAAUCAUCCUUAGCUUUAGAACUUUAGUGCUGUGCUUAGUCACCCAGUCAUGUCUGACUCUUUGCAACCCCAUGGACUAUAGCCAGCCAAGUUCCUCUGUGGGGAUUUUCCAGUCAAGAAUACUGGAGUGGGUUGCCAUGC